RNAcentral lists this ribosomal RNA (502 nucleotides) under uncultured Actinomycetes bacterium. RNAcentral's name for it is "bacterial SSU rRNA". It matches the Rfam family "Bacterial small subunit ribosomal RNA", at positions 355 to 849 of the family's 1533-position model. Lineage: Bacteria; Bacillati; Actinomycetota; Actinomycetes. The record is from RNAcentral.
UGGGGAAUCUUGCGCAAUGGGCGAAAGCCUGACGCAGCGACGCCGCGUGAGGGAGGAAGGCCUUCGGGUUGUAAACCUCUUUCAGGAGGGACGAAGCUACUCGGGUUAAUAGCCCAGAGGGUGACGGUACCUCCAGAAGAAGCCCCGGCUAACUACGUGCCAGCAGCCGCGGUAAUACGUAGGGGGCAAGCGUUGUCCGGAUUUACUGGGCGUAAAGAGCGUGUAGGCGGCCACGCAGGUCCGUUGUGAAAACUGGAGGCUUAACCUCCAGACGUCGACGGAAACCGUGUGGCUAGAGUCCGGAAGAGGAGAGUGGAAUUCCUGGUGUAGCGGUGAAAUGCGCAGAUAUCAGGAAGAACACCAAUGGCGAAGGCAGCUCUCUGGGACGGUACUGACGCUGAGACGCGAAAGCGUGGGGAGCGAACAGGAUUAGAUACCCUGGUAGUCCACGCCGUAAACGAUGGGUGCUAGGUGUGGGAGGUGUCGACUCCUUCCGUGCCGU